Molecule: small nuclear RNA, 107 nt
Organism: Trichosurus vulpecula (common brushtail)
Lineage: Eukaryota; Metazoa; Chordata; Mammalia; Diprotodontia; Phalangeridae
Source: RefSeq, a predicted model, not a curated record
GUACUUGCUUUGGCAGCACAUAUGCUAAAAUUGGAACGAUACAGAGAAGAUUAGCAAGGUCCUUGCACAAGGAUGACAUGCAAAUUCAUGAAGCAUUCCAUAUUUUU